AAACUCCUUUUCAAUUCAUCACAGAAAAUAAUGUCUACCUACAAUGGGUGAGCUUGUCUUGCCUGCUAUCUAUUGGCAUACUUCCGGAUACCUUUAACUGGGUGUCAGGAGUGUAUGACAUCUUUACUUUGAACAAAUUUAAGUGCUCAAGACAGGCCUUUGUGCCUAGAAAUUCUUACAUGGAAUAAUGAAAUAGGACUUCGGUUCUAUUUUGUUGGUUUUCGGAUCCGAACUAAUGGUUAAGAGGGACAGACGGGGGCAUUUGUAUAGCGGUGUUAGAGGUGAAAUUCUGGGAUCAUCGUCAGACAAACUACAGCGAAAUCAAUUGUCAAGAAUGUUUUCAUUGAUUAGGAGCGAAAGUCAGAGUUUCGAAGACGAUUAGAUACCGUUGUAGUUCUGACCAUAAACGAUGCCAAAUAACGAUCUGCAAUGGUUCUACAUAAUUGACAGUGCCGGGC
This 458-nucleotide non-coding RNA is filed under the name Trichobilharzia regenti. RNAcentral's name for it is "Eukaryotic small subunit ribosomal RNA". It matches the Rfam family "Eukaryotic small subunit ribosomal RNA", at positions 642 to 1085 of the family's 1831-position model. Lineage: Eukaryota; Metazoa; Platyhelminthes; Trematoda; Strigeidida; Schistosomatidae. The record is from Rfam by way of RNAcentral.